Molecule: ribosomal RNA, 497 nt
Filed under: uncultured bacterium
Lineage: Bacteria
Description: partial 16S ribosomal RNA
Rfam family: Bacterial small subunit ribosomal RNA
Source: RNAcentral
GACGAACGCUGGCGGCGUGCCUAAUACAUGCAAGUUGAGCGCUGAAGGUUGGUACUUGUACCAACUGGAUGAGCAGCGAACGGGUGAGUAACGCGUGGGGAAUCUGCCUUUGAGCGGGGGACAACAUUUGGAAACGAAUGCUAAUACCGCAUAAAAACUUUAAACACAAGUUUUAAGUUUGAAAGAUGCAAUUGCAUCACUCAAAGAUGAUCCCGCGUUGUAUUAGCUAGUUGGUGAGGUAAAGGCUCACCAAGGCGAUGAUACAUAGCCGACCUGAGAGGGUGAUCGGCCACAUUGGGACUGAGACACGGCCCAAACUCCUACGGGAGGCAGCAGUAGGGAAUCUUCGGCAAUGGACGAAAGUCUGACCGAGCAACGCCGCGGGAGGGAAGAAGGGUUUCGGAUCGUAAAACUCUGUUGGUAGAGAAGAACGUUGGUGAGAGUGGAAAGCUCAUCAAGUGACGGUAACUACACAGAAAGGGACGGCUAACUACGUG